AGAGUUUGAUCCUGGCUCAGAACGAACGCUGGCGGCAUGCUUAACACAUGCAAGUCGAACGCGGGGUUUCGGUUCGCCGGAACCCUGAGUGGCGCACGGGUGAGUAGCGCGUGGGAACCUGCCUUUCAGUGGGGGAUAACCGCGGGAAACUGCGGCUAAUACCGCAUACGUCCGGGCAAAUCUUUGGGUUUGACCGGGGA
This 200-nucleotide ribosomal RNA is filed under the name uncultured bacterium. RNAcentral's name for it is "partial 16S ribosomal RNA". It matches the Rfam family "Bacterial small subunit ribosomal RNA", at positions 8 to 203 of the family's 1533-position model. The record is from RNAcentral.